RNAcentral lists this ribosomal RNA (466 nucleotides) under uncultured bacterium. RNAcentral's name for it is "bacterial SSU rRNA". It matches the Rfam family "Bacterial small subunit ribosomal RNA", at positions 335 to 793 of the family's 1533-position model. The record is from RNAcentral.
ACUCCUACGGGAGGCAGCAGGUGGGGAAUAUUGCACAAUGGGCGCAAGCCUGAUGCAGCCAUGCCGCGUGUAUGAAGAAGGCCUUCGGGUUGUAAAGUACUUUCAGCAGUGAGGAAGGUGGGUAUGUUAAUAGCAUAUUCAUUUGACGUUAGCUGCAGAAGAAGCACCGGCUAACUCCGUGCCAGCAGCCGCGGUAAUACGGAGGGUGCGAGCGUUAAUCGGAAUUACUGGGCGUAAAGCGCAUGCAGGUGGUUUGUUAAGUCAGAUGUGAAAGCCCGGGGCUCAACCUCGGAAUUGCAUUUGAAACUGGCAAACUAGAGUACUGUAGAGGGGGUAGAAUUUCAGGUGUAGCGGUGAAAUGCGUAGAGAUCUGAAGGAAUACCGGUGGCGAAGGCGGCCCCCUGGACAGAUACUGACACUCAGAUGCGAAAGCGUGGGGAGCAAACAGGAUUAGAUACCCUGGUAG